RNAcentral lists this long non-coding RNA (994 nucleotides) under Aotus nancymaae (Ma's night monkey). RNAcentral describes it as "lncRNA (ENSANAG00000039420.1)". Lineage: Eukaryota; Metazoa; Chordata; Mammalia; Primates; Aotidae. The record is from RNAcentral.
GGGCUUUAGGGGAAAAAGGUGAUGGGGCCAUGGUGGUCGGCGCCCUGGAUACCCCAGGGGCCAUGGGCCCCUAGUUCUACAUGAAGACCUGGGCCCAGGCCCUCCCAGGUUCUUCUAGUCCUAUCUCUGCCAAAUACCGAUCUAAUAACCCAGAGGAGAACAGGGUCGCUGUGGUUAGAGACGCUGUUCCCCUCCGCGCCUGACUCCACAGUUACUUAGUUACUUAACCGCGCAUCUGCUGAUUUGAAGCCUUGAGUGCACACUUGCAGAGCUUCCUUCCGGGACUUCGUGGCAGGGAUUGCAAGAGGCCCCUGGUCUGGCAAGGAACUGACCCAGGGAAAUUCUGUCCUUUCUGACUAGAAAAGGCAUAAAUUGGAGACAGCGAGCCAAUGUUGGUGAGACUACAGAGAAAGAGGCAGACCGAGCUAACCAGACCCGGGACUUGUCUUCAUCUGCAAAUGGCAAAUAAAGAUGAACAUGUUCAACUGAUGGAUGAGAAGCACAUCCAGGCCCAGGAUUCCUUCUACUACUCUGGGACUCAAGCAGAUACAUGGCUUCUGUUCUUGAGGAAAUUGAGAAUGUAGAAGGAUGCAAACAUUCUAGACAUAAGCAUGAACCCAUUGACCCAACAAGUACAUGUUGAACACCUACAGUAUGCUAGACAGGCCCAGGUAAAUGGCUUGGCCCUGAAGACAUAGGUGAUAUUUUCAGAAUAAAAUUCUUCUCCCUUUCUCUUGUUUCCUUAACACUGGUAGUCAAACCAUUGACUGAUCAGUAUGUGCAGGUCCAUGAGCUUUCUGAAUGUAACCAUUGUAUUCCCCAGUCUACCCAAGUGAUGAGGAAAUAACAAGUUUUGGGUCUGAUUCCCAGAAUUCUUGAUAGAAAUAUACAAACGAGCCUCUUAAAUCUCUUCUUGCACAUGGAAAGCAAGCUAGCCAAGGAGAGACUUUCAUGGGUCAUUAGGUACCGUCCUGCUGCUCAAUGUACUUUUAAA